RNAcentral lists this ribosomal RNA (250 nucleotides) under uncultured bacterium. RNAcentral's name for it is "partial 16S ribosomal RNA". It matches the Rfam family "Bacterial small subunit ribosomal RNA", at positions 524 to 773 of the family's 1533-position model. The record is from RNAcentral.
UACAGAGGUCUCAAGCGUUGUUCGGAUUCAUUGGGCGUAAAGGGUGCGUAGGUGGCUUGUUAAGUUGAAGGUGAAAUCUCGGGGCUCAACUCCGAAACUGCCUUCAAUACUGGCGAGCUCGAGGACUGUAGAGGAGAAUGGAAUUCACGGUGUAGCAGUGAAAUGCGUAGAUAUCGUGAGGAAGACCAGUGGCGAAGGCGAUUCUCUGGGCAGUUCCUGACACUGAGGCACGAAGGCCAGGGGAGCAAAC